GCUAGAAGCGGGACGGUAGCCGCGGUAAUCUGUAGGGGGCUAGCGUUGUCCGGAUUGAUUGGGGGUAAAGAGCGUGUAGGCGGCCAGGUAGGUCUGGUGUUAAAACUCGAGGCGUAACCUCGGGAUGUCAUCGGAAACCAUUUGGCUAGAGUCCGGAAGAGGUGAGUGGAAUGCCUGGUGGAGCGGUGAAAUGCGCAGAUAUCAGGAAGAACACCAAGGGCGAAAGAAGCUCUCUGGGACGGUACUGACGCUGAGACGCGAAAGCGUGGGGAGCGAACAGGAUUAGAUACCCGAGUAGUC
RNAcentral lists this ribosomal RNA (300 nucleotides) under uncultured Staphylothermus sp. RNAcentral describes it as "bacterial SSU rRNA". It matches the Rfam family "Bacterial small subunit ribosomal RNA", at positions 496 to 795 of the family's 1533-position model. Lineage: Archaea; Thermoproteati; Thermoproteota; Thermoprotei; Desulfurococcales; Desulfurococcaceae. The record is from RNAcentral.